GAUCCUGGCUCAGGACGAACGCUGGCGGCGUGCCUAACACAUGCAAGUCGAGCGGGGAUUAUCGAAUGAAGUUUUCGGAUGGAUUUUGGUAAUUCUAGCGGCGGACGGGUGAGUAACGCGUGAGCAACCUGCCUUUCACAGGGGGAUAACGCAUCGAAAGGUGCACUAAUACCGCAUGAGACCACGCUCCCGACAUGAGAGAGGGGUCAAAGGAGCAAUCCGGUGAGAGAUGGGUUCGCGU
Molecule: ribosomal RNA, 241 nt
Filed under: uncultured bacterium
Lineage: Bacteria
Description: partial 16S ribosomal RNA
Rfam family: Bacterial small subunit ribosomal RNA
Source: RNAcentral